UGAGGAAUAUUGGGCAAUGCCCGCAAGGGUGACCCAGCAACGCCGCGUGGAGGAUGAAUGUCGUAAGAUUGUAAACUCCUGUUAGAGGGGAAGAAUAGUACCGGUUGGACCGGUAUAUGACUGUACCCUCAGAGAAAGCCCCGGCUAACUACGUGCCAGCAGCCGCGGUAAUACGUAGGGGGCAAGCGUUGUCCGGAUUUACUGGGUGUAAAGGGCGCGCAGGCGGGAUAAAAGGUCAGUGGUGAAAUCCUACAGCUUAACUGUAGAACUGCCUUUGAUACUUUUAUUCUGGAGUUCGGGAGAGAGAGACGGAAUUCCAGGUGUAGUGGUGAAAUACGUAGAUAUCUGGAAGAACACCAGUUGCGAAGGCGGUCUCUUGGUCCGACACUGACGCUGAGGCGCGAAAGCGUGGGGAGCAAACA
Molecule: ribosomal RNA, 422 nt
Filed under: uncultured bacterium
Lineage: Bacteria
Description: bacterial SSU rRNA
Rfam family: Bacterial small subunit ribosomal RNA
Source: RNAcentral